Molecule: ribosomal RNA, 253 nt
Filed under: uncultured bacterium
Lineage: Bacteria
Description: partial 16S ribosomal RNA
Rfam family: Bacterial small subunit ribosomal RNA
Source: RNAcentral
UACAGAGGGGGCAAGCGUUGUUCGGAAUUACUGGGCGUAAAGGGCGCGUAGGCGGCCUUCUAAGUCGAACGUGAAAUCCCCGGGCUCAACCCGGGAACUGCGUCCGAUACUGGAAGGCUUGAAUCCGGGAGAGGGAUGCGGAAUUCCAGGUGUAGCGGUGAAAUGCGUAGAUAUCUGGAGGAACACCGGUGGCGAAAGCGACUUCCUGGACCAAUACUGACGCUCAUGUGCGAAAGCGUGGGGAGCAAACAGG